CAGUAAUGACCAGACACAUCACACCCGCCUUCUAGAAGCCCUCCCUCACAAACCGGAUCAACUGCUAUGAUAAAGAAACCUUUUAUUUGCUUGAAUAGUUUGGUUUCCUUCUUUUCAUGAUUUGCCAUGAGAAGAACCCACCCAGGUAAUCACUGCUUGCUCAGAUCCCAGCAAAUUCUAGAUCCCAGAACUAGUGCUCUUAGAGCCAAGGCCAGCCGAUCCAAGUCUGGACCACUGCUCAGAUGAGCCAAGCCUGAAUUUGGGAGUGGUCGCGUUACAGAGCAUUACCCUGGCAAUAACUGACUGAUGCAGAGAUGUAAAUAGACAUCACUGGUGGAGCCCCCAGGAAAGCUCUUUAACAGAAGACAGACUCAGCUGGCAGGUUUUUUGCCCCUUUCCCUUCUCUUCCCUUGAAUGAAGACAGGCUCAAUGCUUGGAGGGGUGAGAGGAGGCAGCCGUCUUACAACCACAGGUCACAGGAAGACACUAAACAAGGCCGUGUGGAAAGACAGAAGGAGCCUCCAUCCCUCAGCACCACAGAGACAUUGUAUCAGCCUGGAAAUGCCUAAAUCUGAACUUCCUCUUACCUAAGAAAAAUAAAACCUCAAUUUGAUU
This 615-nucleotide non-coding RNA is filed under the name Pongo abelii (Sumatran orangutan). The record is from RNAcentral. Lineage: Eukaryota; Metazoa; Chordata; Mammalia; Primates; Hominidae.